UCAACAUGUUGACAACUGUUAAGCGUCUGCGGCAGACAGUGUCAGACUCGGUCGUGCUACGCGAUAUUCAAAGGUGUCAACGAUACGCGUGCCGUUGACAUACUUUCGCCUGCUCGAUACAUCUCGUCGAAAAUUUACCAGUUUUAUCGUAUACAGCUUGAUCGAUCAGUUUCUUCUUUGCCUAUACGCAACAAUUUCAACGACGAAUUCUACGAAUAUUCAAGAAGCUGGUCGUUAAACGCAACGCUCUGGGCAAUAUGGACAACUACUCGAUUACUAGAAUUUUCAACAAGAGAAUUCACCGUCAAAUCAAACAUGAGAACACCACGAACAUGGAAAUGCCCUCCGAUGGAGCGAGUAAAAUGGAUUCUUCCGUGGAACAUGGACGUGGGAGAAUUCAAGUAUUCCCGGAACGAGACAAAGGGGGAGAAUGAGAAGGGAAUUGAAGAUCGAGGCAAAGAAAACAGAAGAACGAGGCAGAAGGAAGUUUCUCGUCUGUGUGGCAAUGGGCGAGAGACGCACGAAUGUAUUUGGGAGUUUACGAACUUAGAGAAGGGUUUUACUUAUGUAUUAGUUCAUCACAGAAACGACUAUUGCCGAGACGGAUCCAGCUGCGCCCUUUUUACACCAACCUUUCUUUCCCUUGCUCUUUUCCACUCUGUUGUUUUAAGUAUUUAUGAAAAACAUUAAAGCCCCGAAACAUAAACUCGAAUACGAACGUUGACGAAAACGUCAACGAUAAUAUAUCGGAUGAGUUCACGCUGGGAUAUACCCAAUGAAUAUUACGGUAGAACUCCAUUUAUUCGAUCUUGUCAGGGGACAAACAAUUUAUAUACAAUAAUUGGAGUUUAUGUAACAGAAACGUACCAUUUUUCGUUUACAUAAUACGAGCUCGCGUUCAGAUAAGUGAAUCGAAGCAGCAAGUUAAUCAGGCAUUAACUAAAAUUUCGUUCAAAUAAAUACAAUUCCACUAUAUUCGAUUCUGAAAGUUAAUUUGCCUCCCGUCAUUGUUUUCUCUGUUUAUCGAUAACCGUGUGUAUGUAAAAUUCCUCAUACGUGAACGAAUUUGAAAGAAACACUUUAUACGAUCAUAUAGCAGAUAUUUACAAAACAGCAGAAUUUAAAUGAAACGUGUUUAACAUAGGUUUCGCGAUGAAUUACGAGCUCGUAUUUCCAACGUGAAGGAAACCGUACAAGAUAAUUAAGUACAUGUAAUUGCUCUGGAAAAUGAUGUAGAUUUCCCGUGCGUUAUACAAGUUUCAAAGCUUUUCAUUGCAAUUACGCAAGAAAGCACGCCUCAACCACGUGAAACGCGUAAAUUUCAUAGACGUUAUUCCAAUCUUCUAGUUCUAAUCUUCUAAUUUUGAGUAUCUCACGAAACGUGCAUUCUGUUUUUCAUCUUACUGUGACUUUCAUGUUCACGUGAGGUACUAAUGAACAAAAUCAUUUCCAGAAAUAAAACACAUUAAAAUAAAUUACGCUUACUAAAUUAUUAAUAAAUAUUCUCGCAGUUUAUAAAUAUUCCGUUAACUAUUCCAACGUAAUUUUCAUCGCGUAAGCAUCAAACGCGUGUUUUCAUCCGGAGCAGAAGUGAAAAAGGCCUGAUGCGGGAAGAGUGACAAUUGCGAGAAAUUCCUGGGACGUUAAGGCGUCGCGUCGGUGGCAAAGCUCGUAAACGAGCGACGAGAUAAUAGAUUAGAUUGCUGGUGAUGCGUUUAACGUGAAGUCCGGUCACGUUGGCGUUAAACGUAUAGCGAAUGCCAUUUUAUGCAGGCGGCUAUGCAACGAACGAACUCGACGAACGUUCUAGAAAAUCGUGAGUAGUGCCGGUCGUCGAGACUCUUAAAGGUUCAUCUUCAAAUAUUUAAUGAAGCCUCCGUACGAGCCUAUUACAUUUUUAACGCUCGCCGCUCACUCCAAACUCGUAUCCGUGACGAGAAGGAUUUAUAAGCUUCUCAACGACGAAUAAGACAAAAAAAUGUAAAAGCUGGAAAGGAGAAAUGGAAAUUUCCGAACAACCGCAGAAUUAGGUGGAAAAGAUAAAUUCGGAGACGUCUAACAGUGCGUACUCGAGUCGACAUUGUCGAGAUGUUAACUUUAUAAUACAUCGUUUGGGAUCAAAUUCUUUUUGCGUUACCAGCUCCUUUUUUUUCUUUUACCGUAAUGUUCUUUCCGUGUACCGAGAUUUUUUUCAUUUUAUAGCGGAUUCGCCUACCCACGCUGUCCUGUGACCUUUCUUUGUGCCACAUACGUAUUAAUUUUUCGCUCUCUUUCUCUUUCUUUGACGAUAUGAAUUUACAUUACCGGUCAUAACAAUCGGGACAAUUUAAUCAAAUUCUAGUAACAAUAUAAUACAAAUGUGUA
RNA transcript from Bombus pascuorum, 2364 nucleotides. RefSeq lists it as uncharacterized. NCBI's taxonomy places the organism in Eukaryota, Metazoa, Arthropoda, Insecta, Hymenoptera, Apidae. The record is from RefSeq and is a predicted model, not a curated record. The transcript has 3 exons.